UUGGCGAGCCGGGUCGUCGCUAUGGCAAUGAGGAGCUGCCACCUGUCCCUCCGAGGGAUUCGGUCCACCUGAGGCCUAAGGCGGCGGCGGCCGGGAGGAGCCCGAGGCCCCGAGGGCUCCGCACUGUACUAUCGGCUGCCUGCGGGCGAGAAAGGCGCUUCAGGAACCGGGAAGGACAGGAGAGUUAGGUUGUGAGGGAAGCCGUUCCCGCGGGUUCCACAGCCCGCACUGGGGCUGCGGACCUUCUCCUUGGGUUUCAGAGCCCGGGGCUUCCUCCUGCUCCUAACCGCCCGGGAGAGCUUUACUGUGCGCAGCCCCCCCCACCCCCGGGACUGCCUACGAUCUUCGAGCCAUCCCUCUGAAGGAAGCAAUUGCAGGCCAUGGCUUAAGUUUCUGGCAGUGUCUGAGAGAAGGGAAGAUUCUCUCUCUUACUUUUGGAGGACAAGAAAUCUUUCGAAGAUGCUGGGGCGGCAGUGAAGUCGGGCAGAAUUCUGAGGUGGAGAGCUGGCCCAGGCAUCAUGCCAAGCUGAGUUGGGCAAAGUGAAGGGGCAUCACAGCCAGGCUGUUAUUCUUUGGUGUCUCACUCUGGUCCCGCAAAAUUAUCAGUUUGCAGGAGGCUGCAGGGCGCUGGUGGAGAGCAAGCCCUGACCCCAGACUCAGGAAUGCUCCUCUCCUUGAUCAGCCUAAAGCUCCAGAGGAGUGAGGAGCAAGAGAACUCAUGCUAGGCCUCCUCUGCCUCAUCCGCCCCUCCACACCCUGGUCCAGUCCCAUCAGGAUUGAUUGGAAAAUUGGGUUGCUCCUCCGCAGCCGACCCAAGCUGUAAUGCCACCCUUGGCCAGUAGGUGCCGCCAUCUAACAUACCAUCCUCCAGCCCGCAAACGCCUGACCCUGGAGAGCCUACUCAAGGAACCCAGUGCC
This is a long non-coding RNA of Lutra lutra (Eurasian river otter), 918 nucleotides long. RefSeq lists it as uncharacterized. Lineage: Eukaryota; Metazoa; Chordata; Mammalia; Carnivora; Mustelidae. The transcript is spliced from 3 exons. The record is from RefSeq and is a predicted model, not a curated record.